AUUUGGGAUUUUGGUUUUCGUAUUUGUUUAAUGAAUGUCACAUGGAGCUAUUUACUAUUUGAGGGCGGUAGAAUAGCGGAUUUUGAUGGUGCAAUAUAUGGCUUAUAUGCAUGGUUAAAACGGUUUCUUGAUGAACUAAUAUGAGAUUCUUGGGGAAGAGAUUACGAAAACAAGAAUGCUAUUUCAUCAGAAAAAAUAAAUAUCUAAUUUGGAAUGCUUAAUGCUUUGAAGCCCUUGCGUUUAUAUUGUGCUAAAUUACUGACUUCAACCUGCUUGAAAUUAAUCCUCUUAUUUGUUUCCUAUGCUGACAUGUCCAACUAUACCUUUGUUACCCCCAUUGGUGAAAUUUCUUCCUGUGCAGUAAGACUCUAGACCUGCUUUGACACUAGCUGAGCUAGAGCUGUUUAUUUAUUUAUUUAUUAUUUUUAUUUUUAAAUUUAUUAUUUAUUUAAGUUGGCUGCUAAAUGAGGCAGUUAUUUGAUGAACUGGUGAGCUCCAACCCGUGACUUUUGAAAUUUUUAUUUUUAUGAGUAAGCCUAAAAGUUUCUUUAACACCUUUUCAUUUGGCAAGUCUUACCAUUGGGCCAUGCCACCCUUUUUCCAUUUCAUACCCCUAAUUACUAAAAUAUUCUGCUGCCAAGCUUUUUUGUGGUUCUGCUGCCUAACUUUUUUGUGGUUCCUCGAGGUUAACUGUUAUGACCAUUAUACAUUAUGUUUUUUUUCAUAAGCCUGCUACUCCUUUAUUUAUCUUUUUCAAGUUUUUGUAAAUGGAAGAAAGCUCAUGGUUGUCAAACUGUAUUUUGACAGUGAAUCAUGCGCUUGGGUUUUAAUUGGGACUGACAUAAAUAUUCUGCUACUUGCUAAGUUCGCGUAGCCUUUAAUGGGACCUGCCCGGAUAGUCAGAAACAGCAUCCUCAUUAAGGGUGAAUUGAAUCAUGAAAUUGUGAACUAGCAAGAUGAGUGGAGAGAAUUCAAAAAAAGCUGAGAAAAGAAUUAGGAAGGAGCGUGAAGCUAUAAUUGCUACGACAAUGGAUGAUCUUCAAGAUGUAAUAGGAAGUAUAGUUGCAUGGCCUAGUCAAUUCAUUUUUUUGGACUAAAUAUUAGAAUAAUUGAUUUACGAUUUGUAGUUAUGCUUUUUGGAUGUUUAAAGUCGUAUUUUAGAAAUUAGUAAAUCUUAUGAUUUGGAUACUUUUCUUGGUUUGUAUGUUUGAGGCUGUUAUUAACUUGAUAUGAUAAAAGUUAAAGAUGGAAGUUAGUA
Non-coding RNA from Camellia sinensis, 1258 nucleotides. Lineage: Eukaryota; Viridiplantae; Streptophyta; Magnoliopsida; Ericales; Theaceae. The record is from RefSeq and is a predicted model, not a curated record.